Molecule: ribosomal RNA, 246 nt
Filed under: uncultured bacterium
Lineage: Bacteria
Description: partial 16S ribosomal RNA
Rfam family: Bacterial small subunit ribosomal RNA
Source: RNAcentral
AUACGUAGGGGGCGAGCGUUGUCCGGAAUUAUUGGGCGUAAAGAGUUCGUAGGCGGUUUUUUAAGUCAGAUGUGAAAGGCUACAGCUCAACUGUGGUAAGCAUUUGAAACUGAAAGACUUGAGUUAAGGAGAGGAAAGUGGAAUUCCUAGUGUAGCGGUGAAAUGCGUAGAUAUUAGGAGGAACACCAGUGGCGAAGGCGACUUACUGGACGAUAACUGACGCUGAGGCUCGAAAGCGUGGGGAGC